ACGGAAGGCAGCAGUGGGGAAUAUUGCACAAUGGGGGAAACCCUGAUGCAGCGACGCCGCGUGAGCGAAGAAGUAUUUCGGUAUGUAAAGCUCUAUCAGCAGGGAAGAAACUGACGGUACCUGACUAAGAAGCACCGGCUAAAUACGUGCCAGCAGCCGCGGUAAUACGUAUGGUGCGAGCGUUAUCCAGAUUUACUGGGUGUAAAGGGAGCGUAGACGGAUAGGCAAGUCUGGAGUGAAAACCCGGGGCUCAACCCCGGGACUGCUUUGGAAACUGUUUAUCUAGAGUGCUGGGGAGGUAAGUGGAAUUCCUAGUGUAGCGGUGAAAUGCGUAGAUAUUAGGAGGAACACCAGUGGCGAAGGCGGCUUACUGGACAGUAACUGACGUUGAGGCUCGAAAGCGUGGGGAGCAAACAGGAUUAGAUACCUGGUA
This 433-nucleotide ribosomal RNA is filed under the name uncultured Lachnospiraceae bacterium. RNAcentral describes it as "bacterial SSU rRNA". It matches the Rfam family "Bacterial small subunit ribosomal RNA", at positions 341 to 792 of the family's 1533-position model. The record is from RNAcentral. Lineage: Bacteria; Bacillati; Bacillota; Clostridia; Lachnospirales; Lachnospiraceae.